UGGGGAAUAUUGGACAAUGGGCGCAAGCCUGAUCCAGCCAUGCCGCGUGAACGAUGAAGGCCUUAGGGUUGUAAAGUUCUUUUGUCAGGGAAGAUAAUGACGGUACCUGAAGAAUAAGCACCGGCUAACUUCGUGCCAGCAGCCGCGGUAAUACGAAGGGUGCUAGCGUUGUUCGGAAUCACUGGGCGUAAAGCGCGCGUAGGCGGCGAUAUAAGUCAGAGGUGAAAGCCUGGAGCUCAACUCCAGAACUGCCUUUGAAACUAUAUUGCUAGAGUGUCGGAGGGGAUAGCGGAAUUGCUAAUGUAGAGGUGAAAUUCGUAGAUAUUAGCAGGAACACCGGUGGCGAAGGCGGCUAUCUGGACGACAACUGACGCUGAGGCGCGAAAGCCAGGGGAGCAAACGGGAUUAGAUACCCUUGUAGUCCCUGAGCGGGCUGGCAAGGCGCAU
RNAcentral lists this ribosomal RNA (447 nucleotides) under uncultured bacterium. RNAcentral describes it as "bacterial SSU rRNA". It matches the Rfam family "Bacterial small subunit ribosomal RNA", at positions 355 to 825 of the family's 1533-position model. The record is from RNAcentral.